GUAACGCGUAGAUAACCUGUCUUCAUGUCUGAAUAAUAACGACCGAAAGGGUACUAAUACGGAUAUUCUUGCUUUUCAUAAGUUAUGCAAGCAAAGGUGGCCUCUGCAUAUGCUACUGCAUGAAGAGGGGUCUGCGUACCAUUAGCUAGUAGGUGGGGUAAUGGCCUACCUAGGCGACGAUGGUUAGCGGGUCUGAGAGGAUGAUCCGCCACACUGGCACUGGAACACGGGCCAGACUCCUACGGGAGGCAGCAGUGAGGAAUAUUGCGCAAUGGGGGAAACCCUGACGCAGCGACGCCGCGUGAGUGAAGGAAGGCCUUCGGGUCGUAAAGCUCUGUCAAGAGGAAAGAAGUGUACAAUGGCUAAUACCUGUUGUAUUUGACGGUACCUCUAAAGGAAGCACCGGCUAACUCCGUGCCAGCAGCCGC
This 428-nucleotide ribosomal RNA is filed under the name uncultured bacterium. RNAcentral's name for it is "bacterial SSU rRNA". It matches the Rfam family "Bacterial small subunit ribosomal RNA", at positions 110 to 518 of the family's 1533-position model. The record is from RNAcentral.